This 623-nucleotide ribosomal RNA is filed under the name uncultured bacterium. RNAcentral describes it as "bacterial SSU rRNA". It matches the Rfam family "Bacterial small subunit ribosomal RNA", at positions 338 to 956 of the family's 1533-position model. The record is from RNAcentral.
CCUACGGGAGGCAGCAGUGGGGAAUAUUGGACAAUGGGCGAAAGCCUGAUCCAGCCAUGCCGCGUGUGUGAAGAAGGUCUUCGGAUUGUAAAGCACUUUAAGUUGGGAGGAAGGGCAGUAAGCGAAUACCUUGCUGUUUUGACGUUACCGACAGAAUAAGCACCGGCUAACUCUGUGCCAGCAGCCGCGGUAAUACAGAGGGUGCAAGCGUUAAUCGGAAUUACUGGGCGUAAAGCGCGCGUAGGUGGUUUGUUAAGUUGGAUGUGAAAGCCCCGGGCUCAACCUGGGAACUGCAUCCAAAACUGGCAAGCUAGAGUACGGUAGAGGGUGGUGGAAUUUCCUGUGUAGCGGUGAAAUGCGUAGAUAUAGGAAGGAACACCAGUGGCGAAGGCGACCACCUGGACUGAUACUGACACUGAGGUGCGAAAGCGUGGGGAGCAAACAGGAUUAGGAUACCCUGGUAGUCCACGCCGUAAACGAUGUCAACUAGCCGUUGGAAUCCUUGAGAUUUUAGNGGUCGCAGCUAACGCAUUAAGUUGACCGCCUGGGGAUACGGCCGCAAGGUUAAAACUUAAGAGUAGUAGACGUGAGAGUAGUCGACGAGACACGAGGGAGGUUAGAGG